GGAAAGAAGUAUACUUCCAUAAGAGACUGUAUUGAACCCUAUCAUUAUUUUUAUCCCAAAUAUAAUUUUUUUUUUUUAAAUCAGGUUUUGUGUAAAGGGGUCGCAUAUUAUUUUUUAUUUUCAUCCCAAUAAGUUCUUAUUUUUUAAAUUUUCAAAAUAGUCAUUUUGUAAAAUAUAUUAUUCUAAACAAUUGUAAUAUACCCAUCAUAUUUUCUUGUCUGAUU
Non-coding RNA from Cinara cedri, 224 nucleotides. The record is from the annotation of a GenBank genome assembly. NCBI's taxonomy places the organism in Eukaryota, Metazoa, Arthropoda, Insecta, Hemiptera, Aphididae.